UGGGGAAUAUUGCACAAUGGGCGAAAGCCUGAUGCAGCAACGCCGCGUGAGUGAUGAAGGUCUUCGGAUUGUAAAGCUCUGUCUUUUGGGACGAUAAUGACGGUACCAAAGGAGGAAGCCACGGCUAACUACGUGCCAGCAGCCGCGGUAAUACGUAGGUGGCGAGCGUUGUCCGGAUUUACUGGGCGUAAAGGGUGCGUAGGCGGAUGUUUAAGUGAGAUGUGAAAUACCCGGGCUUAACUUGGGUGCUGCAUUUCAAACUGGAUAUCUAGAGUGCAGGAGAGGAGAAUGGAAUUCCUAGUGUAGCGGUGAAAUGCGUAGAGAUUAGGAAGAACACCAGUGGCGAAGGCGAUUCUCUGGACUGUAACUGACGCUGAGGCACGAAAGCGUGGGUAGCAAACAGGAUUAGAUACCCUGGUAGUCCACGCCGUAAAACGAUGAGUACUAGGUGUAGGAGGUAUCGACCCCUUCUGUGCCGCAGUAAACACAUUAAGUACUCCGCCUGGGAAGUACGAUCGCAAGAUUAAA
RNAcentral lists this ribosomal RNA (528 nucleotides) under uncultured bacterium. Its description in RNAcentral is "partial 16S ribosomal RNA". It matches the Rfam family "Bacterial small subunit ribosomal RNA", at positions 355 to 898 of the family's 1533-position model. The record is from RNAcentral.